GGUGCAAAUGAUGGUAACAGCGAUCAAAGUAUGAUAUCUCAUGAUUCCAUCCUUAUAAACCACUGAUGCACC
Molecule: small nucleolar RNA, 72 nt
Organism: Hucho hucho (huchen)
Lineage: Eukaryota; Metazoa; Chordata; Actinopteri; Salmoniformes; Salmonidae
Source: Ensembl